GCCUUGGUGGUGGAAUUGGUAUACACGCACGACUCAAAAUCGUGUGCCGAAAGGCUUGAGGGUUCGACUCCCUCCCAAGGCA
Molecule: transfer RNA, 82 nt
Rfam family: tRNA
About the family: Transfer RNA (tRNA) molecules are approximately 80 nucleotides in length.